This is a long non-coding RNA of Cydia fagiglandana, 655 nucleotides long. RefSeq lists it as uncharacterized. The transcript is spliced from 3 exons. Lineage: Eukaryota; Metazoa; Arthropoda; Insecta; Lepidoptera; Tortricidae. The record is from RefSeq and is a predicted model, not a curated record.
CGGAGACUGACUUUGUCCCGGAGUGUCAAGGUGCCUUCACUGUACAUCUACUAACUGCUUCCAUUUAUGACAGCCUACCAAGACAAUGCUGAUACAUGAAGACUCCUGUUUGCUGGCUUCAUCUCAAGAAUUUUGCUGCAAAAAUGGCUGCUGUCUACACGCAGCGCUACAAAAAAAAUUGAACCCCCCGUUUUUCUUCACGUUAGGUAUCAAUGACACAAGAACAUGGAUUCCUUGUUGUGAUAACACAAAUCCCUAACACCGCGAGCAGAGAACGAGUAAAAAUGUAGUACCAAACUCGUCAAGAGAUGGCGCCACCUCCGAGAUAGAACGCGCCAACGAUUUGUCGUCGUAGAAUCAUGACGUCCGAGAUACAAAUUACCGAUCGGUUUAGAAUUUUUAGGAGAAGAUUAGUACCUGUUGGCUGCAUAAGUGCAUACCCCUGUCAAGGCUUGUGCGUAACCAGUGUAGUCUUUUACAUAAUGUUGUAAUAAAUAAGCUAACUGAAAUAACUACCUUGUUUUCGAAUGCGGAGAGUAACCCUUACUACAAUAGAAUAAUAAUAAAAUAUUAGACCAUAUAUUUUAUAAGCUACUCGAGUUUUAUUUUCUGUGUACAUAGUAACUAUGAAAUGAUAAACUCAAUGUUUCAUGAC